UGCAUGUGAUGUAAAUGAAUAUUUGCUAUCUUAUCAAAGAUGAUGACAUUUUCCCACCAAGAUCGCUGAUGCA
Small nucleolar RNA from Synchiropus splendidus (mandarinfish), 73 nucleotides. RefSeq annotates it as small nucleolar RNA SNORD24. The record is from RefSeq and is a predicted model, not a curated record. Lineage: Eukaryota; Metazoa; Chordata; Actinopteri; Syngnathiformes; Callionymidae. The transcript has a single exon.